This 282-nucleotide ribosomal RNA is filed under the name unidentified marine bacterioplankton. RNAcentral describes it as "partial 16S ribosomal RNA". It matches the Rfam family "Bacterial small subunit ribosomal RNA", at positions 62 to 339 of the family's 1533-position model. The record is from RNAcentral.
UCGAGGGGUAACAGGGAGCUUGCUCCGCUGACGACCGGCGCACGGGUGCGUAACGCGUAUAGAACCUACCUUUUACUGAGGGAUAGCCUUUAGAAAUGAAGAUUAAUAUCUCAUAGCAUUGAGAAGUGGCAUCACUUUUUAAUUAAAAGAUUUAUUGGGUAAAAAGAUGGCUAUGCGUCCUAUUAGCUAGAUGGUAAGGUAACGGCUUACCAUGGCGACGAUAGGUAGGGGUCCUGAGAGGGAGAUCCCCCCACACUGGUACUGAGACACGGACCAGACUCC